This 492-nucleotide ribosomal RNA is filed under the name uncultured bacterium. Its description in RNAcentral is "partial 16S ribosomal RNA". It matches the Rfam family "Bacterial small subunit ribosomal RNA", at positions 29 to 507 of the family's 1533-position model. The record is from RNAcentral.
AGUGAACGCUGGCGGUAGGCCUAACACAUGCAAGUCGAACGGCAGCACAGUAAGAGCUUGCCCUUACGGGUGGCGAGUGGCGGACGGGUGGGGAAUACAUCGGAAUCUACUUUUUCGUGGGGGAUAACGUAGGGAAACUUACGCUAAUACCGCAUACGACCUACGGGUGAAAGCAGGGGAUCUUCGGACCUUGCGCGUUUGAAUGAGCCGAUGUCGGAUUAGCUAGUUGGCGGGGUAAAGGCCCACCAAGGCGACGAUCCGUAGCUGGUCUGAGAGGAUGAUCAGCCACACUGGAACUGAGACACGGUCCAGACUCCUACGGGAGGCAGCAGUGGGGAAUAUUGGGCAAUGGGCGCAAGCCUGAUCCAGCCAUACCGCGUGGGUGAAGAAGGCCUUCGGGUUGUAAAGCCCUUUUGUUGGGAAAGAAAAGCAGCAGGUUAAUACCCCGCUGUUCUGACGGUACCCAAAGAAUAAGCACCGGCUAACUUCGUG